Molecule: ribosomal RNA, 460 nt
Filed under: uncultured bacterium
Lineage: Bacteria
Description: partial 16S ribosomal RNA
Rfam family: Bacterial small subunit ribosomal RNA
Source: RNAcentral
CCUACGGGUGGCAGCAGUGAGGAAUAUUGGUCAAUGGACGAGAGUCUGAACCAGCCAAGUAGCGUGAAGGAUGACUGCCCUAUGGGUUGUAAACUUCUUUUAUCAAGGAAUAAAACGAGGCACGUGUGCCUUUUUGCAUGUACUUUAUGAAUAAGGAUCGGCUAAAUCCGUGCCAGCAGCCGCGGUCAUACGGAGGAUCCGAGCGUUAUCCGGAUUUUGUGGGUUUAAAGGGAGCGUAGAUGGGUUGUUAACUCAUUUGGGAAAGUUGGCGGCGUAAACGUAAAAUUGCAAUUGAUACUGGCAGUCUUGAGUACAGGUGAGGUAUGCGGAAUUCGUGGUGUAGCGGUGAAAUGCUUAGAUAUCACGAAGAACCCCGAUUGCGAAGGCAGCUUACUAAACUGUGACUGACAUUGAUGCUCGAAAGUGUGGGUAUCAAACAGGAUUAGAUACCCCAGUAGUC